AAUCGGUGUUGCGGACACUUCUGUAAAACAUCCUUGAAUCCCUCCUAUGUCUCAAAUAAUGAUUCGAGCUAAAUCUGUAUGAAUGAGGAUAUAUCAUUUCAAAACCU
This is a small nucleolar RNA of Dioscorea cayenensis subsp. rotundata (Guinea yam), 107 nucleotides long. The record is from RefSeq and is a predicted model, not a curated record. Lineage: Eukaryota; Viridiplantae; Streptophyta; Magnoliopsida; Dioscoreales; Dioscoreaceae.